AGAGUUUGAUCAUGGCUCAGGACGAACGCUGGCGGCACGCUUAACACAUGCAAGUCGAACGAGAGAAGAGGAGCUUGCUUUUCUGAUCUAGUGGCGGACGGGUGAGUAACACGUGAGCAAUCUGCCUUUCAGAGGGGGAUACCGAUUGGAAACGAUCGUUAAUACCGCAUAACAUAAUUGAACCGCAUGAUUUGAUUAUCAAAGAUUUAUCGCUGAAAGAUGAGCUCGCGUCUGAUUAGCUAGUUGGUAAGGUAACGGCUUACCAAGGCGACGAUCAGUAGCCGGACUGAGAGGUUGAUCGGCCACAUUGGGACUGAGACACGGCCCAGACUCCUACGGGAGGCAGCAGUGGGGAAUAUUGCACAAUGGAGGAAACUCUGAUGCAGCGAUGCCGCGUGAGGGAAGAAGGUUUUAGGAUUGUAAACCUCUGUCUUCAGGGACGAAAAAAGACGGUACCUGAGGAGGAAGCUCCGGCUAACUACGUGCCAGCAGCCGCGGUAAUACGUAGGGAGCGAGCGUUGUCCGGAAUUACUGGGUGUAAAGGGAGCGUAGGCGGGAUCGCAAGUCAGAUGUGAAAACUAUGGGCUUAACCCAUAAACUGCAUUUGAAACUGUGGUUCUUGAGUGAAGUAGAGGUAAGCGGAAUUCCUAGUGUAGCGGUGAAAUGCGUAGAUAUUAGGAGGAACAUCAGUGGCGAAGGCGGCUUACUGGGCUUUAACUGACGCUGAGGCUCGAAAGCGUGGGGAGCAAACAGGAUUAGAUACCCUGGUAGUCCACGCCGUAAACGAUGAUUACUAGGUGUGGGGGGACUGACCCCUUCCGUGCCGCAGCAAACGCAAUAAGUAAUCCACCUGGGGAGUACGACCGCAAGGUUGAAACUCAAAGGAAUUGACGGGGGCCCGCACAAGCAGUGGAGUAUGUGGAUUAAUUCGAAGCAACGCGAAGAACCUUACCAGGUCUUGACAUCGUAUGCAUAGCUCAGGGAUGAGUGAAAUAUCUUCGGAGACAUAUAGACAGGUGGUGCAUGGUUGUCGUCAGCUCGUGUCGUGAGAUGUUGGGUUUAGUCCCGCAACGAGCGCAACCCUUACUGUUAGUUGCUACGCAAGAGCACUCUGGCAGGACUGCCGUUGACAAAACGGAGGAAGGUGGGGAUGACGUCAAAUCAUCAUGCCCCUUAUGACCUGGGCCUCACACGUACUACAAUGACUGUCAACAGAGGGAAGCAAAGCCGCGAGGUGGAGCGAACCCCUAAAAGCAGUCUUAGUUCGGAUUGUAGGCUGCAACCCGCCUACAUGAAGUCGGAAUUGCUAGUAAUCGCAGAUCAGCAUGCUGCGGUGAAUACGUUCCCGGGCCUUGUACACACCGCCCGUCACGCCAUGGGAGUCGGUAACACCCGAAGCCUGUAGUCUAACCGCAAGGAGGACGCAGUCGAAGGUGGGAUUGAUGACUGGGGUGAAGUCGUAACAAGGUA
This 1470-nucleotide ribosomal RNA is filed under the name metagenome. RNAcentral's name for it is "bacterial SSU rRNA". It matches the Rfam family "Bacterial small subunit ribosomal RNA". The record is from RNAcentral.